Molecule: unclassified non-coding RNA, 230 nt
Filed under: uncultured fungus
Lineage: Eukaryota; Fungi
Description: sequence contains ITS1
Source: RNAcentral
AGAAACAGAAGCAUUAUGCUGGUGAGCAUAGAAGGGUCCUGCCCGGCUAUGCCUUGCUGGUUAAACCAUUUUGUGCACUGUGAAUGUCUCUGGCGGGUGGACGGCGGAAGUCUUUUCUGUCGUUUGUCAGCUCUGGGCAACCAAAGCCGUGGACAACCCGCCAACCACGUCCUACUCCUUUUUGUGAACGUACUGUCUGACAUUGCAAUCUUUAGCACAAUGUAAUAAAA